Molecule: ribosomal RNA, 725 nt
Filed under: Salmonella enterica subsp. enterica serovar Derby
Lineage: Bacteria; Pseudomonadati; Pseudomonadota; Gammaproteobacteria; Enterobacterales; Enterobacteriaceae
Also listed under: 1 other name
Description: partial 23S ribosomal RNA
Rfam family: Bacterial large subunit ribosomal RNA
Source: RNAcentral
GGGUUGUGAGGUUAAGCGACUAAGCGUACACGGUGGAUGCCCUGGCAGUCAGAGGCGAUGAAGGGCGUGCUAAUCUGCGAUAAGCGCCGGUAAGGUGAUAUGAACCGUUAUAACCGGCGAUACCCGAAUGGGGAAACCCAGUGUGACUCGUCACACUAUCAUUAACUGAAUCCAUAGGUUAAUGAGGCGAACCGGGGGAACUGAAACAUCUAAGUACCCCGAGGAAAAGAAAUCAACCGAGAUUCCCCCAGUAGCGGCGAGCGAACGGGGAGGAGCCCAGAGCCUGAAUCAGCAUGUGUGUUAGUGGAAGCGUCUGGAAAGGCGCGCGAUACAGGGUGACAGCCCCGUACACAAAAGCGCAUGUGCUGUGAGCUCGAUGAGUAGGGCGGGACACGUGGUAUCCUGUCUGAAUAUGGGGGGACCAUCCUCCAAGGCUAAAUACUCCUGACUGACCGAUAGUGAACCAGUACCGUGAGGGAAAGGCGAAAAGAACCCCGGCGAGGGGAGUGAAAAAGAACCUGAAACCGUGUACGUACAAGCAGUGGGAGCCCCACCACUAAGCCAGUGGUGAACUCCACAUACGCAUCCUUUGCUGAGGAUACGGUUAACGGAGCGCAAGCGACGUUCAACCGCAAAAGAAGCAGAGGGGGCUUAGUGGUGGGGUGACUGCGUACCUUUUGUAUAAUGGGUCAGCGACUUAUAUUCUGUAGCAAGGUUAACCGUAU